RNAcentral lists this transfer RNA (68 nucleotides) under Marmota marmota marmota (Alpine marmot). It matches the Rfam family "tRNA". Rfam says of the family: Transfer RNA (tRNA) molecules are approximately 80 nucleotides in length. Their secondary structure includes four short double-helical elements and three loops (D, anti-codon, and T loops). Lineage: Eukaryota; Metazoa; Chordata; Mammalia; Rodentia; Sciuridae. The record is from Rfam by way of RNAcentral. RNAcentral also lists the same sequence under 1 other name.
GUUGUGGCUCAGUGGUAGAGUGCUUGCCUAGCAGGCAUGAAGCACUGGGUUUGAUCCCUGGCACAACA